UACGGAGGAUCCGAGCGUUAUCCGGAUUUAUUGGGUUUAAAGGGUGCGCAGGCGGAAGAUUAAGUCGGUGGUGAAAUUUUGCAGCUCAACUGUAAAAGUGCCAUCGAUACUGGUUUUCUUGAGUGUGGAUGAAGUAGGCGGAAUUUGUGGUGUAGCGGUGAAAUGCAUAGAUAUCACGAGGAACUCCGAUUGCGCAGGCAGCUUACUAGGCCAUAACUGACGCUCAGGCACGAAGGCGUGGGGAUCAAACAGGAUUAGA
RNAcentral lists this ribosomal RNA (259 nucleotides) under uncultured prokaryote. Its description in RNAcentral is "partial 16S ribosomal RNA". It matches the Rfam family "Bacterial small subunit ribosomal RNA", at positions 524 to 782 of the family's 1533-position model. The record is from RNAcentral.